AAGGGCUCUCAUUCCUCUUCCCCACUGCCUUCCAUCCUUUGAGCAGGGAACAACCUUCCUGCUGUGAAGUCUAUGAAUCUGCAGCUCCUCUGAUCUUCUGGAAGAAGAACACACGCUUUGGCAUAUCAACCAUCUCAAGGACCCAGGAAAUAACACAGCAAGCCAAUCAUAUGGUAAAGAACAGCUCUGCUACAUCACGAAAGAAUCCACCGCUCCCUGAAACACAAGCCCAAGAUCCAGGUACUUGGAUGUCUGGUAAAUAAGGGCCCAUUGAGUUCACAAGACGCAAGCAAGCCUUUUCUUCGGGAACUCAAACCCAGCACAGCCCAGCACAACAAUCCUCCACAAAGGCUGAAAAAGCACAUGGCAACCACAGCUCCCCACCACUCUUCAUAUACCACGAUUCUUCCGGCCUCAUUUUUCCAACUGCACCCUUCAUGUCCAGCUCUUCCUUUCCCUUUCACCCACUUCAGGUGUGACCAACUGAGAUAGAGUUGACUUUCUUACUAGUAGCUACUGUGGUGCUGUGUUUUGGAUUUGGGAUGAGAACAGCAUUGGUAACGCAGGAAUGUUUUCAGUUGUUGCUGAGCAGUCAAGGCAUUUUCUGCACCUCACACCACCCCGCCACUGGGUGGGCUGGGAGUGCGCGGAAUAUCAGGAUGGGACACAGUGGUGACAGCUGACCCCAACUCACCACAGGGAUAUUCCAUACCAUGUGAUGUCAUGCUCAGCAGAUAAAGCUGGGGUGGGGGGUCCGGGAAAGAAGUAACGGUUGGAAGGGUGUUUUGUCUUCCCAAAUAACUGUUACGCGUGAUGGAGCCCUGCUUUCCUGGAGCUGGCUGAACACCUGCCUGCCAAUGGGAAGUACUGAAUACAUUCCCUGUUUUGCUUGGCUUGCAUGGUCGGCUUUUGCUUUACUUGUAAAACUGUCCUCAUCUUAAUCCAUGAAUUUUCCUUAUUUUUCUCAUUCUUCACAUUCCUCUGGUGAGAGGGAAUAAGGAGUGAGUGGCUGCAUGGUCCUAGUUACCCGCUGGGGGUAAACUAUGACAACAACUUACCUGUGGAAUCCCUGGUUGGUUCUUCAAAAUAAAAAGCAUUUUC
This 1101-nucleotide long non-coding RNA is filed under the name Calidris pygmaea (Spoon-billed sandpiper). RNAcentral describes it as "lncRNA (ENSCPGG00000004736.1)". The record is from RNAcentral. Lineage: Eukaryota; Metazoa; Chordata; Aves; Charadriiformes; Scolopacidae.